This 465-nucleotide ribosomal RNA is filed under the name uncultured bacterium. RNAcentral's name for it is "partial 16S ribosomal RNA". It matches the Rfam family "Bacterial small subunit ribosomal RNA", at positions 28 to 507 of the family's 1533-position model. The record is from RNAcentral.
GACGAACGCUGGCGGCGUGCUUAACACAUGCAAGUCGAACGGAAAGGCCCUGCUUGCAGGGUACUCGAGUGGCGAACGGGUGAGUAACACGUGGGUGAUCUGCCCUGCACUUCGGGAUAAGCCUGGGAAACUGGGUCUAAUACCGGAUAGGAGCCAUUUUUAUGGUGGGGGUUGGAAGGUUUUUUCGGUGUAGUAUGAGCUCGCUGCCUAUCAGCUUGUUGGUGGGGUAAUGGCCUACCAAGGCGGCGACGGGUAGCCGGCCUGAGAGGGUGGACGGCCACAUUGGGACUGAGAUACGGCCCAGACUCCUACGGGAGGCAGCAGUGGGGAAUAUUGCACCAUGGGCGCAAGCCUGAUGCAGCGACGCCGCGUGGGGGAUGAAGGCCUUCGGGUUGUAAACUCCUUUCGCUAGGGACGAAGCUUUUUGUGACGGUACCUAGAGAAGAAGCACCGGCUAACUACGUG